RNAcentral lists this ribosomal RNA (253 nucleotides) under uncultured bacterium. RNAcentral describes it as "partial 16S ribosomal RNA". It matches the Rfam family "Bacterial small subunit ribosomal RNA", at positions 524 to 776 of the family's 1533-position model. The record is from RNAcentral.
UACAGAGGGGGCAAGCGUUAUUCGGAAUUACUGGGCGUAAAGCGUGCGCAGGCGGCGCGUUAAGACAGGUGUGAAAGCCCCGAGCUUAACUUGGGAAUUGCGCUUGUGACUGGCGUGCUGGAGUGUGGCAGAGGGAGGUGGAAUUCCACGUGUAGCAGUGAAAUGCGUAGAGAUGUGGAGGAACACCGAUGGCGAAGGCAGCCUCCUGGGCCAGCACUGACGCUCAUGCACGAAAGCGUGGGGAUCAAACAGG